This 305-nucleotide ribosomal RNA is filed under the name uncultured bacterium. RNAcentral's name for it is "bacterial SSU rRNA". It matches the Rfam family "Bacterial small subunit ribosomal RNA", at positions 337 to 635 of the family's 1533-position model. The record is from RNAcentral.
CCCUACGGGGGGCAGCAGUAGGGAAUUUUCGUCAAUGGGCGCAAGCCUGAACGAGCAAUGCCGCGUGAACGAGGAAGGUCUUCGGAUCGUAAAGUUCUGUUGAAGGGGAAAAAGAGCGGAGAGAGGAAAUGCUCUCUGAUUGAUAUUACCCUUCGAGAAAGUCACGGCUAACUACGUGCCAGCAGCCGCGGUAAUACGUAGGUGGCGAGCGUUAUCCGGAAUGAUUGGGCGUAAAGGGUGCGUAGGCGGCCUGCUAAGUCUGGAGUGAAAGGUACCGGCUCAACCGGUACAGGCUCUGGAAACUG